GAUGAAGAACGUAGUGAAAUGCGAUACUUGGUGUGAAUUGCAGAAUCCCGUGAACCAUCGAGUCUUUGAACGCAAGUUGCGCCCGAAGCCAUCAGGUUGAGGGCACGUCUGCCUGGGCGUCACAUAUCGUUGCCCAAUGCCUAUUGCAGUGCAAUAGGAAUUUCUAGGGCGAAUGAUGGCUUCCCGUGAGCGUUGUUGCCUCGCGGUUGGUUGAAAAUCGAGUCCUUGGUAGGGUGUGCCAUGGUAGAUGGUGGUCGAGCUAGAACGAUACCGAUCAUGUGCAUGCUCCCCAAAAUAUGGCCUCUAUGACCCACACGCGUCUUUUGACGCUCAUGACGAGACCUCAGGUCAGGCGGGGCUACCCGCUGAAUUUAAGCAUAUCAAUAAGCGGAGGA
Molecule: unclassified non-coding RNA, 395 nt
Filed under: soil metagenome
Description: partial contains 5.8S ribosomal RNA, internal transcribed spacer 2, and large subunit ribosomal RNA
Rfam family: 5.8S ribosomal RNA (bases 1-122)
Source: RNAcentral